Molecule: ribosomal RNA, 767 nt
Filed under: uncultured Actinomycetes bacterium
Lineage: Bacteria; Bacillati; Actinomycetota; Actinomycetes
Description: bacterial SSU rRNA
Rfam family: Bacterial small subunit ribosomal RNA
Source: RNAcentral
UACUCGAGUGGCGAACGGGUGAGUAACACGUGGGUGAUCUGCCUUGCACUUCGGGAUAAGCUUGGGAAACUGGGUCUAAUACCGGAUAGGACAGCUGUUUAGUGUCAGUUGUGGAAAGUUUUUUCGGUGCAAGAUGAGCUCGCGGCCUAUCAGCUUGUUGGUGGGGUAAUGGCCUACCAAGGCGUCGACGGGUAGCCGGCCUGAGAGGGUGUACGGCCACAUUGGGACUGAGAUACGGCCCAGACUCCUACGGGAGGCAGCAGUGGGGAAUAUUGCACAAUGGGCGGAAGCCUGAUGCAGCGACGCCGCGUGGGGGAUGAAGGCCUUCGGGUUGUAAACUCCUUUCGACAGGGACGAAGCGUAAGUGACGGUACCUGUAUAAGAAGCACCGGCUAACUACGUGCCAGUAGCCGCGGUAAUACGUAGGGUGCGAGCGUUGUCCGGAAUUACUGGGCGUAAAGAGCUCGUAGGUGGUUUGUCGCGUCGUCUGUGAAAUUCCGGGGCUUAACUCCGGGCGUGCAGGCGAUACGGGCUGACUUGAGUGCUGUAGGGGAGGCUGGAAUUCCUGGCGUAGCGGUGAAAUGCGCAGAUAUCAGGAGGAACACCGAUGGCGAAGGCAGGUCUCUGGGCAGUAACUGACGCUGAGGAGCGAAAGCAUGGGUAGCGAACAGGAUUAGAUACCCUGGUAGUCCAUGCCGUAAACGGUGGGCGCUAGGUGUAGGGGGCUUCCACGUCUUCUGUGCCGUAGCUAACGCAUUAAGCGCCCC